UAGAUAGUAAAGGAAAGGGAUUGGAAACGCAUCACGUGCACCAAUGUUUUCAACAGAAGUUGGAUGGUACAAUCCUAUACUUACGAUUUUUAAUGUUAUUCAUUGUUAGUCAAAAGGUCAUUUGUUGUUUUUUGAGCUAUAUUUUUGGACUUCAAGAUCAUUCUUUCAGCGUUCAAGCCAAUCAAGAUGUGAAGCAAAAAGCUCGUAAGAAAAGGUGCAAGUCCUCCUCAACCGUUAACCAGAUCCCA
Long non-coding RNA from Halichondria panicea, 248 nucleotides. RefSeq lists it as uncharacterized. NCBI's taxonomy places the organism in Eukaryota, Metazoa, Porifera, Demospongiae, Suberitida, Halichondriidae. The record is from RefSeq and is a predicted model, not a curated record. The transcript has 2 exons.